Molecule: ribosomal RNA, 497 nt
Filed under: uncultured bacterium
Lineage: Bacteria
Description: partial 16S ribosomal RNA
Rfam family: Bacterial small subunit ribosomal RNA
Source: RNAcentral
GACGAACGCUGGCGGCGUGCCUAAUACAUGCAAGUAGAACGCUGAAGAGAGGAGCUUGCUCUUCUUGGAUGAGUUGCGAACGGGUGAGUAACGCGUAGGUAACCUGCCUUGUAGCGGGGGAUAACUAUUGGAAACGAUAGCUAAUACCGCAUAACAAUGGAUGACACAUGUCUUUUAUUUGAAAGGGGCUAUUGCUCCACUACAAGAUGGACCUGCGUUGUAUUAGCUAGUAGGUGAGGUAAUGGCUCACCUAGGCGACGAUACAUAGCCGACCUGGGAGGGUGAUACGCCACACUGGGACUGGGACACGGCCCCGGCUCCUUCGGGGGGCAGCAGUAGGGAAUCUUCGGCAAUGGGGGCAACGCUGACCGGGCAACGCCGCGGGAGUGAAGAAGGUUUUCGGGUCGUAAAGCUCUGUUGUAAGUCAAGAACGGGUGUGAGAGUGGAAAGUUCACACUGUGACGGUAGCUUACCAGAAAGGGACGGCUAACUACGUG